RNAcentral lists this ribosomal RNA (404 nucleotides) under Verrucomicrobiota bacterium. RNAcentral's name for it is "Verrucomicrobia bacterium partial 16S ribosomal RNA". It matches the Rfam family "Bacterial small subunit ribosomal RNA", at positions 355 to 776 of the family's 1533-position model. Lineage: Bacteria; Pseudomonadati; Verrucomicrobiota. The record is from RNAcentral.
GGGGGAAUAUUGCACAAUGGGGGAAACCCUGAUGCAGCGACGCCGCGUGAGCGAUGAAGGCUUUCGAGUCGUAAAGCUCUGUCCUAUGGGAAGAUAAUGACGGUACCAUAGAAGAAAGCCCCGGCUAACUACGUGCCAGCCGCCGCGGUAAUACGUAGGUGGCAAGCGUUGUCGGGAAUUAUUGGGCGUAAAGCGCGCGCAGGUGGUUUAGAAAGUCUGAUGUGAAAGCCCACGGCUCAACCGUGGAGGGUCAUUGGAAACUAAUAAACUGGAGUGCAGGGGAGAAAAGUGGAAUUCCUAGUGUAGCGGGGAAAUGCGUAGAGAUUAGGAGGAACACCGGUGGCGAAAGCGGGGUUUUGGCCUGCGACUGACACUGAGGGGCGAAAGCGUGGGGAGCGAACAGG